Molecule: ribosomal RNA, 465 nt
Filed under: uncultured bacterium
Lineage: Bacteria
Description: partial 16S ribosomal RNA
Rfam family: Bacterial small subunit ribosomal RNA
Source: RNAcentral
GACGAACGCUGGCGGCGUGCUUAACACAUGCAAGUCGAACGGAAAGGCCCUGCUUGCAGGGUACUCGAGUGGCGAACGGGUGAGUAACACGUGGGUGAUCUGCCCUGCACUUCGGGAUAAGCCUGGGAAACUGGGUCUAAUACCGGAUAGGAGCCAUUUUUAGUGUGAUGGUUGGAAAGUUUUUUCGGUGUAGGAUGAGCUCGCGGCCUAUCAGCUUGUUGGUGGGGUAAUAGCCUACCAAGGCGGCGACGGGUAGCCGGCCUGAGAGGGUGGACGGCCACAUUGGGACUGAGAUACGGCCCAGACUCCUACGGGAGGCAGCAGUGGGGAAUAUUGCACAAUGGGCGCAAGCCUGAUGCAGCGACGCCGCGUGGGGGAUGACGGCCUUCGGGUUGUAAACUCCUUUCGCUAGGGACGAAGCUUUUUGUGACGGUACCUAGAUAAGAAGCACCGGCUAACUACGUG